Molecule: ribosomal RNA, 426 nt
Filed under: Ixodes scapularis (black-legged tick)
Lineage: Eukaryota; Metazoa; Arthropoda; Arachnida; Ixodida; Ixodidae
Description: partial 12S ribosomal RNA
Source: RNAcentral
UAAAAAAUUUUGGCGGUAUUUUAAGCUUAUUAGAGGAAUUUGCUCUGUGAUGGACACAACGCCUUAAUCUUACUUAAUUUAGUAAUUUAAAUCAGUUUGUAUACCACUAUAUUAAUUAUAUUGAAUAGUUAUAUUUAAAAUUUUUAUAAAAAAAUAUAUUAAGUCAAGGUGCAUCUAAUAAUUAUGAAUGAAGUGAAUUACAUUAAUUUUAAUGUAAUUUUUUACAUGAAAAAAUUAAUUAGGAUUUAAUAGUAAAAUACUAAUAUUAUGAGUAUUUGAAUCAAGCUCUAAAAUAUGCACAUAUCGCCCGUCGCUCUCAGAAGUGAGAUAAGUCGUAACAAAGUAAAAAUACUGGAAAGUGUUUUUUAAAAUGAAAUCAUUUGAUGUUUCAUUUACAAUGAAAAUUUUGUUGCUUAACCAUUUUAA